GACGAACGCUGGCGGCGUGCUUAACACAUGCAAGUCGAACGGAAAGGCCCUGCUUUUGUGGGGUGCUCGAGUGGCGAACGGGUGAGUAACACGUGAGUAACCUGCCCUUGACUUUGGGAUAACUUCAGGAAACUGGGGCUAAUACCGGAUAGGAGCUCCUGCUGCAUGGUGGGGGUUGGAAAGUUUCGGCGGUUGGGGAUGGACUCGCGGCUUAUCAGCUAGUUGGUGGGGUAGUGGCUUACCAAGGCUUUGACGGGUAGCCGGCCUGAGAGGGUGACCGGCCACAUUGGGACUGAGAUACGGCCCAGACUCCUACGGGAGGCAGCAGUGGGGAAUAUUGCACAAUGGGCGGAAGCCUGAUGCAGCAACGCCGCGUGCGGGAUGACGGCCUUCGGGUUGUAAACCGCUUUCGCCUGUGACGAAGCGUGGGUGACGGUAAUGGGUAAAGAAGCACCGGCUAACUACGUG
RNAcentral lists this ribosomal RNA (468 nucleotides) under uncultured bacterium. RNAcentral's name for it is "partial 16S ribosomal RNA". It matches the Rfam family "Bacterial small subunit ribosomal RNA", at positions 28 to 507 of the family's 1533-position model. The record is from RNAcentral.